AAGCUUGUUGGCUGGGGUGGGGUGCUGGUGCAAAGCCUCCCAUUUUGCCUUGAGGACCAUAGCAAAUACCUCCUUUCUGGAUGGACAAGGGAGACCCUUGUCAGCAAGAAUUGUGCUACAGUCUCCCAGCCUAACCACAAGGACACACAAGGACUAGAACAUUCGCUCUGCUUCUACACAGCAUUGGCAAGAGUUUGAACACCUCUUUCUCAAACCAACAGCAAGAGUUGCCCAGGAAGUGCAUUCACUAACAUACUCCCCUAAAUAUUCUUGUGUGAAAAGAAGAGAUAUGUUGCCAUGAAUGGGUCUUUCAGUUGGUAUUUGUAGGACUGCAAAGUUGCAAAGCUGGCAACAUGGUAAUAGCUUAGAGUGUUAAAUUUUGUGAUUUACUACUUGAUAUGGUAGCACAAAAUUAGAACUACAAGAAGAAUAAAGGCUUGGUCACCUUACCUGUAAGAUCUACUAAUGACAAUAACUUUAUAGAGAAAAUUGCUCCUCUUUAAGCAAUGCCUCAUCUGACUUGAUGCUCUCUGCUGCAGAAGGUGAAAUUGCAACAAUUACAAACUUGAUCUUGGCUGUGACCCCUGAAUUGACCUUUUGAAGGAACCUGGAUUAUGUCUGAAUCUAUUAUCUCUGCAAGGAGACCAGCUGUCUUCAGAAUUGCUUUUGGGGCCCCGUAAUGUCAUCGUGAAAUUGCAGACAUCCAAUCUGUCGGGAAAUGCUGUUGGCUCUCCAUCUGGAAUAUAUUCAGAGUUGAAGACUUUUCACCACCUCUUCUAAUAUCACCCUUGGCUCUCCAUAGAAAUCUCAAGGACACAACUUUUCCCCCCAUCUUGUGGAAGGAUGACAUUUUCUGAUAUUUGCUUCAAACUCUGAGUGAGACCCUAUGCAGGUCCCACAGGUUAUUUUAAUCUAUCUUCCUCACUGACACAAGUUCUAUUGGGGCUGAGACCAGAGAAGACAAUGUGAGACCCUGCAUCCAACAGUAUUCCUUUUAGAAACUAUGCCCAGACUGAGUGGGUGCAUUUUUGUUCUAAUACUUUUUCUCUUCUGUAGUUUACACAGUAGGAGAUAAUCUUUGAUAUGGCAACUAUGUCAUUCCCCUCAGUGUGCCCAACAACUCACAUCUCAUAGCUGCAAUAGGUCAGAGACAAAUUCCAUUAUGGAGUAAGGAGACAGUCUUCUAAAGGUGCAUUGCAUGUAGUGAGGUAUAGACAUAGCAAGCAAUGAAUGUUACAUCCCAGGAGCAGAGUCUGAGAGAAGACGGGUAGUCGUAAAUCCUGAAAUUACAACAAUUCCAUGUAAUUCAUCAGCUUCUGAGUAUCUCUCAAGUGACAUUUAUUAGUAGAAAGCUUUGUAGAACAGAGCGGUAUGCUGGCUAGCCAAGUUGAUUGCACUUCGAGGGUGAGUGGAUUCCUGAAUCCCCUAUUUAGAUAUAGGGCUAGAACAAGAUUGAGGAGCCAGUGUGAAUAUUUUCAUCUGGCAUUUCUUUUCUCUACUGAGUGAAUUCCUUUCUCCAACUCCCAGAACAUUGUUCAAUGAGGUAAUAAAAACUACAAUUCCAGAAAUUGUAGUUGGAUACUACUUUGAUAAUAAUAUCAUUUGAAUCUUAGCCUUUAUUUACAACACUUCAUUUAUAGGCACUAUAGUUCCCAGAAUGCACCAGCAACGUCAGUUUCCUUUACCCCACAAUUUUGCUUCAAUAUUUUUUUGGAAUUUGCAUUUUUUACCCAUAUGUUAAAAAUACCUGUCUGGAUGAAGGAAAAUUGAAUCUGUGUUCAGCCUAUAUUACAAAGCACCAUUUUCUGUACUAAGGGUUGGACUGUAUCCCAGAUUUCUAGUUGGACUCAUGUCUGAAUCAAGCAGCAAAUGGUUAAGAAGGCACUCAUUUUUUUCCCCUACGGUUUUGAAGUUGGUCUAUUUUUCAUACAGUUAAAGUGGGGUUUUCCUUUGACAGAAGCCUUAGUAGGAUUUUCUCAAGUCAGUUUUCUCUACGUCAAAGUUAGAAUCUAUUAUUCCCAGAGUCUAGCAUUGGUGUAUGUGACUUUAUUUAGAUGACUGUAUUUUCAUGUUUUCCCCAUGCUCUCAUCUGUCUUCAAGGCUGUUUAUCAUUUCUCCUUAUUUUAAACCACAUGCCUCAAAUGCUUUUUGCUCCUACUCUUUCUCCUGCUUUGCUGGAGAGAAAGCAUGCCUGACUUUGUCAUGGUGGAAAUAUCAUAAUUCUUGCAGUUUAUGUGAACUGUGAUUAUUAGCGAUUGAAAUGUUGCUAUGCUUAGGAAGAUAGUAAAGGUAGAGUGAGAUCCUCUCAAAAACAAGACAAAAUGAAGGAUUGUUAGGGCCAUUCUUCACCAGUAAGGAUCAUGUAGUGCAUUCUCCAUCAUCUAGGGCCAUUCUGAGGACUGUAAUGAUACUGAAGGGUGACAUGACAUGCAUCUUUAUCUGCCCCCUAAAUGGAGAGAUGGGGUCUGGCAAAGCAGGUGUCAUUCAGGCUUUUCCCCUCAAUGCUCAGAUGCCCAUGUAAGGUUGGGAAAGGCUAUCACAGCCCUGUGGGUAGAAGGUGAAGAGAAGAUGGGACAUGGACUGUGAGGAUAAGAAGGACAUGGGGUGGUGGAGAGAGGAGGGAGUGCUAGGUGUGGGUGGGGAGGAGCUUGCAUUAAUGGAAAGCGGGUGGGAGGACUGGAAGGGGCCUCAGGAUAGAGAGGGGGAAUGGUGUGAGAAUGGAGGGGGAGCCUGGAGAGAAGGGGACUCAUGAACGGAACUGACCAUAAGGAAGCUUCAUAAAUUAAAGACAUAAUCAAUAGACAGGCAACAUGGGGAGAUAAAAAGGUAUUGAUAGCUUGAAAGAUAAAAGGAAAUUUUAAUUACACUGUGAUUGAUAAAAUACGAUGAAAAGUAGUUCUUUGGCUGCUCCUUGACACUGUUCCCUGUUUGGAAGUUCUGAGG
RNAcentral lists this long non-coding RNA (2943 nucleotides) under Homo sapiens (human). RNAcentral describes it as "HSALNT0165552". Lineage: Eukaryota; Metazoa; Chordata; Mammalia; Primates; Hominidae. The record is from RNAcentral.